RNAcentral lists this small nuclear RNA (314 nucleotides) under Castor canadensis (American beaver). RNAcentral describes it as "7SK RNA (ENSCCNG00000015327.1)". It matches the Rfam family "7SK RNA". From Rfam's summary of the family: 7SK was discovered as an abundant small nuclear RNA in the mid-70s but a possible function has only recently been suggested. Two independent studies have found that 7SK RNA binds the CDK9/cyclin T complex (known as elongation factor P-TEFb). P-TEFb activates transcription by phosphorylating the C-terminal domain of RNA polymerase II. Lineage: Eukaryota; Metazoa; Chordata; Mammalia; Rodentia; Castoridae. The record is from Rfam by way of RNAcentral.
GGAUGUGAGGGCAAUCUGGCUGCGACAUCUGUCACCCCAUUGAUCGCCAGGGUUGAUUCGGCUGAUCUGGCUGGCUAGGCGGGUGUCCCCUUCCUCCCUCACCGCUCCAUGUGCGUCCCUCCCAAAGCUGCGCGCUCGGUCGAAGAUGACGACCAUCCCCGAUAGAGGAGGACCAUUCUUCGGUCAAGGGUAUACGAGUAGCUGCGCUCCCCUGCUAGAACCUCCAAACAAGCUCUCAAAUAGAAAGAAACCACACAGAUUUAGAAGCAUUUGGACAUUGGCAACAUUAGUUUUAAAACUUGACAUUUAAUAAU